This is a non-coding RNA of Galeopterus variegatus (Sunda flying lemur), 75 nucleotides long. The record is from the annotation of a RefSeq genome assembly. Lineage: Eukaryota; Metazoa; Chordata; Mammalia; Dermoptera; Cynocephalidae.
GGCCUGUUAGCUCAGUUGGUUAGAGCUUGGUGUUAAUAACACCAAGGUCCCAGUGUUCAAUCCCUGUACUGGCCA